AGAGAAAAGAGACUUGAUGGCUUGUG
RNAcentral lists this non-coding RNA (26 nucleotides) under Cricetulus griseus (Chinese hamster). The record is from RNAcentral. Lineage: Eukaryota; Metazoa; Chordata; Mammalia; Rodentia; Cricetidae.